AGAGCUCUGCCUCCUACGUGAGGAGAAUCCACCUUAUGCCUGGACCCCUUGUUUUGUGAGAAGGAACAAGGCCAACAACCAAGAUGAAGAAUUGUUGAAAGUUUGAGGAAGAUGAACCAGUCAUCUAAGAGUGUGGAGGGUGAGAGUGUGAGGACAGGAUAGUGUGAUUGCUGACCGGAAUGGGGAGCUCACUUGAGGUGUGUAGUCAUGAACAGGUGACUCGGUGGCUGUGUGCUUCUCUGUAGCCAUAUUCUGGUAUAAGGGGGGCACAAUCAGGGGAAGCUGGAGUUGGAUUUAAUCUUCAUUGUAAUAUAAUAAAAUCAAAAGAAGAAUGAACGUGAUUGACCUUAUAAUUCAACCAUCUAUAAAAGUAAGUAAACACAUGAAGAAGGAAUAGACAAUGAAAAGGUGGUGGGAAUACCUCAGUGGGGCAAAUGUUGGUGGUGGAAUACCAAAGGCAGUGAGAUGGAAAGAGAAGAUGCAGUGGUCAGAGAGCAAGAUGCUUGAGGUUCAGACUACAGCAAGAUUGCUGUUACUGGCAAUGACGAUGUGACUGAUGUAAAGUGGAGAACACCAUCACUGGGGCAAUGUAUCAAGGAACUGAGACGCCAGUGUACUAGAAAGACCAUUAAUGUGGAUAUUGAAUUCCUGAGAGUUAUGACAAGAGGAGUACUGGAGGAAAUGACAGUGAGCCACCAGCUAAAGCCCUUAAGAAAUUAAGGGAGUGAUCCAGGAAACACUAAGAACUGCGAUGAUGAAACUGAUAGGAUUAUUAAUGAGAUUUACAAGUAGGGGUUUGCAGGCUCUCCUAAAAGAAAGAAGAUGCCAACUGAUCUUGAUUAUUUUUUAGGGUAUUUUUUUCUUUUCCAAUGUCUUUUGAAAAUAAAGUCUGAUUUUAUGAAAAUUUCAAAGCCUCUAUUCCAUCAGAAAGCUGGAAAUAAACUCAGCUUUCUGCUGUAA
Molecule: long non-coding RNA, 960 nt
Organism: Galeopterus variegatus (Sunda flying lemur)
Lineage: Eukaryota; Metazoa; Chordata; Mammalia; Dermoptera; Cynocephalidae
Exons: 2
Source: RefSeq, a predicted model, not a curated record